GUGCCAGCCGCCUGCGGUGAAUUCCAGCUCCAAUAGCGUAUAUUAAAGUUGUUGUGGUUAAAAAGCUCGUAGUUGAACCUUGGGCCUGGCUGGCCGGUCCGCCUCACCGCGUGCACUGGUCCGGCCGGGCCUUUCCCUCUGUGGAACCCCAUACCCUUCACUGGGCGUGGCGGAGAAACAGGACAUUUACUUUGAAAAAAUUAGAGUGCUCCAGGCAGGCCUAUGCUCGAAUACAUUAGCAUGGAAUAAUAAAAUAGGACGCGCGGUUCUAUUUUGUUGGUUUAUAGGACCGCCGUAAUGAUUAAUAGGGACAGUCGGGGGCAUCAGUAUUCAACUGUCAGAGGUGAAAUUCUUGGAUCAGUUGAAGACUAACUACUGCGAAAGCAUUUGCCAAGGAUGUUUUCAUUAAUCAGGAACGAAAGUUAGGGGAUCGAAGACGAUCAGAUACCGUCGUAGUCUUAACCAUAAACUAUGCCGACUAGGGAUCGGACGGUGUUAUUCAUGACCCGUUCGGCACCUUACGAGAAAUCAAAGUGCUUGGGCUCCAGGGGGAGUAUGGUCGCAAGGCUGAAACUUAAAGAAAUUGACGGAAGGGCACCACCAGGGGUGGAGCCUGCGGCUUUAUUUGACUCAACACGGGGAAACUCACCAGGUCCAGACACAAUAGGGAUUGACAGAUUGAGAGCUCUUUCUUGAUUUUGUGGGUGGUGUGCAUGGCCGUUCUUAGUUGGUGGGGUGACUUGUCUGCUUUAAUUGCCGAUACC
RNAcentral lists this ribosomal RNA (764 nucleotides) under uncultured fungus. RNAcentral's name for it is "SSU rRNA". It matches the Rfam family "Eukaryotic small subunit ribosomal RNA", at positions 564 to 1333 of the family's 1831-position model. The record is from RNAcentral. Lineage: Eukaryota; Fungi.